UAAUAUUCCUUAUCGCUACAUCAGUUAUCGUCGAACGGUAGAGUAGAAGCUUGCUUCUCUUGAGAGCGGCGGACGGGUGAGUAAUGCCUAGGAAUCUGCCUGGUAGUGGGGGAUAACGUCCGGAAACGGACGCUAAUACCGCAUACGUCCUACGGGAGAAAGCAGGGGAUCUUCGGGCCUUGCGCUAUCAGAUGAGCCUAGGUCGGAUUAGCUAGUUGGUGGGGUAAUGGCUCACCAAGGCGACGAUCCGUAACUGGUCUGAGAGGAUGAUCAGUCACACUGGAACUGAGACACGGUCCAGACUCCUACGGGAGGCAGCAGUGGGGAAUAUUGGACAAUGGGCGAAAGCCUGAUCCAGCCAUGCCGCGUGUGUGAAGAAGGUCUUCGGAUUGUAAAGCACUUUAAGUUGGGAGGAAGGGCAGUAAAUUAAUACUUUGCUGUUUUGACGUUACCGACAGAAUAAGCACCGGCUAACUCUGUGCCAGCAGCCGCGGUAAUACAGAGGGUGCAAGCGUUAAUCGGAAUUACUGGGCGUAAAGCGCGCGUAGGUGGUUCGUUAAGUUGGAUGUGAAAUCCCCGGGCUCAACCUGGGGAACUGCAUUCAAAACUGGGCGAGCUAAAAGUAUGGUAGAGGGUG
Molecule: ribosomal RNA, 637 nt
Filed under: Pseudomonas sp.
Lineage: Bacteria; Pseudomonadati; Pseudomonadota; Gammaproteobacteria; Pseudomonadales; Pseudomonadaceae
Description: bacterial SSU rRNA
Rfam family: Bacterial small subunit ribosomal RNA
Source: RNAcentral